GUUUCGACGGCGAGCGCCCCCGGAGGCCUUCAAACACUGCAUCUUUGCGUCGGAGUUUAAGUAAAUUAAACAAAACUUUCAACAACGGAUCUCUUGGUUCUGGCAUCGAUGAAGAACGCAGCGAAAUGCGAUAAGUAAUGUGAAUUGC
Molecule: ribosomal RNA, 148 nt
Filed under: Cercospora kikuchii
Lineage: Eukaryota; Fungi; Ascomycota; Dothideomycetes; Mycosphaerellales; Mycosphaerellaceae
Description: 5.8S ribosomal RNA
Rfam family: 5.8S ribosomal RNA (bases 74-148)
About the family: 5.8S ribosomal RNA (5.8S rRNA) is a component of the large subunit of the eukaryotic ribosome.
Source: RNAcentral